Long non-coding RNA from Hibiscus syriacus, 313 nucleotides. RefSeq lists it as uncharacterized. Lineage: Eukaryota; Viridiplantae; Streptophyta; Magnoliopsida; Malvales; Malvaceae. The record is from RefSeq and is a predicted model, not a curated record. The transcript is spliced from 3 exons.
UGGGGUAUGAAGUAAAUAAUAUAAUAAUUGAGGGAGCAAGUUUCCCACAGCCUAUAUUGCCUUGUUUGUUUGGCUUUCAAGGCCUGUGUUCUCUCUUGCCAGUUGCCACACAUCAUAGAUUUUGCAUGCAUGCCCUUGCCGUUUAACACUGAAGGCCUAGGAAUGAGAGAGAUUAUGGCAACUUACCCAGACAUCGCUUAUCUGCAUCAAUUGAGGCCAUAUAUAAAAGAAGAGUAAAUAAGAACAAAGUGAAAGAUGUUGAUGAGAAGCCUUUCCAUCUCCCAUUAGUCCAAGACCGCUCCUCAUGCUGCUG